CAAAUUGUAAUAUUACAUUUAACAGUUGUCUAGUAUUCACCAUGAGGUUUCAUGUGCAGCCAGUAUUUGGGCAUUAAUCACAUCCCAACAUCAAUAUUCUAAUGCUACUAUAAAUCAUGCAAAGCUUCUUUCCAACAUUAAAUUUCAAUUAGUUUUGUUCUGAACCCAAUAACCAAAUGCACCAAAAAGAUCCAAAUCUCAAGCAAGAUUUCCCCUUUUUUAUCAAGCCCGCAACUUCAUGCAAAAUCCAUUUGGAUUUUAUACUUGAGAACAUAAAAUCAGUGAAGCCAUCUGCUGAAAUUACUUCUUCUACCAAUUUUUCAAAAGCAUCAUUGAAGGCAUUAUUGCAAUGAUCUUGACUUCAUGAAAAUUUGUUUUCUCAAUAAUCUGCACUUAACAACUCAAUUAACGCCAAUUGUUGAUGAAUUGGUUGUUAGGGAGACAAAUUAACUGGCCACUGAAGACCUUCGUUGAGAUUGGCAUAACUUGAAAACACUAAAAUCAAGAAAAACACAUACACCGAAAAUCAUCUCUCAUCAACAACUUAGAACCUUUCCCUGUUUCAAGAAACCAUUCAAGUAUCGAAUUCCAUAGCGAGGAAACAUUGUUAGUUUAAGUAUGCAAAACUUAACAUAAAGCAAAAAAGAAGUGAGUAGAAAUUAAGGACAAACCCUUAUGAUCUCUUUCCCUACAGCUUAUGAUGGCUGCUUUUGAUCGAAAUCAAUGAAAAAGUUGCUAUUUUAUUUGAAUACAAAAACAACAGUAAAAUUCAUUUAUUUUAUGUGUGAAUUAAUCAUGUGAUUUAAUCCGAAUUCAAUCCAAACAUUUUCUAGACAUGAACACAUAAUUUAGUUACAGUUUACAACAACAAAGAUCCAGAAAUCAUGAUCAAAAUGUGAAUUAUUGGUGAUUUUUCUAUUGCAAAAAUGGCAAUGCAGAAAACUUUAUGCUGACAAUGUAAAAGACAAUGGCAUUAGGCUUAAAGAUUAAAUUAGACAUUAAUUUUAGGCUUAAAGAUCAUGGAAAUGUAAAAGACCAUGACAAUGCAUUCAAUUAAAGACUUUCAUAAAAUCAGAAAAGUAAAAAUGAAAAUUUAUGCAUCAUUAUGUUCAUCAAUUAUUUUGAUAUUCUGGAAUUUAAUAGCAAUAUGAUCCAAAUGAAGAACAAAAAAGCCCAAAAAACUAACAAAUCAAUACUAUAUUGUGAGGACUUUAGAGACUUAGUGAUAUUUAAUACUGUUCAUGCAUUUGAUUGGAAAAAUAUAGAUUAUUUCAAUGCAACUACACGUCAGUAUUCUUUAAGAAAGAAUCUAUCCAUUUAUGAAUGUACUAAGAAACUAUGAAAGAAGCUGCUAACUUACUGGAUCUACGAAAAAACAAGGAAAUAUAUGCCCAUUUCAUUGAACGUAACUAUAUAUAUCGAGAGAGCAAUGAUCCAAUGCAACGGUUGUAUCAUAGUAUAAUGCAACAACACUUCUAGAAAGCCAUGUUUGUGGUAUUUGUAAGACCUCAAAUUUUGCACACACUCUCUCUUCAUCUUAAUACUCAUCUCCCAAAAAGCAAAAGUUGAAUUUGAAUCCUAGUUAUCGUUAAAAUGAGUCCCCUCCAAAAAUAAAUCUAGACCAUUUAUUUUGUGAAUUUCAAGAUAUUAGCCUUUAUAAACUCAAAAUCAUUUUUUUUAUUUUUUAAAAUUGUUCAUCUAAUGAUAAUAAAACCAUCCAAAAAAAUUAGAAAUGAAAAAAAUCAUUCUAAGGUCUAAAUCUAAGCAUCUCACCAAAAUGAAUGGCCUAUGUUAAUUGGGCUAAAAAAAUAUUUUCUACGUUGUGUUUUCAAAUUUUUCUUUUUUUGUGAUUGUUCAUUAGAAUGAAAAGAGUGUAUAUUUCAAAAUUUGGAUCAAACAAAUGGCCAUAAAAUGAUUUUUUAAAGUUGUUACAUCAUAUUACUAUACAAUGGUUGCAUCAAAUCAUUGCUUUUGUAUAUAUAUAUAUAUAUUUCUCUCUCUCCAGCAAAUGGAAAAAUUAUCUAAUCAAAGAAACAAAAAACCUAAGAAGCUCAAAUAACAAGUAAUCAUAAAUUAGCACAUGUAAUUUUAAUUUUAGAGAAUACAAUUUAUUUUUUUAAAAAACUGGAUAUUUUUUAAAACUCAAAAAGACUCAAUAAAUCUACAGUCUAAAAAAUCCAAUGCCUGAUUUGAAAUGGGGAUUGGUUUUCUUUUGAUUGUUAGGGCCAUCCUGUUUGGGAUGGAGAUGGAGAGAGGGUUUCAACUUUGGUUGGGAUUGAGAUGGGGAGAGGGUUUCACCUUUAAUUGGGAUUGAGAUAAAGGGUGGGAUGGAGCCCUUUUUUAUUUGUAAGUAUGGAAAGCUCUUCAAGCUUCAUAGAUCCAUUGAUCGAUUGACUGAUUUUUUGCAUCUUCAAACAAGAAGAGCCAUUUGCAAAAAUCAUUGAGCUUGCAUCUUGCUACUCCCCACAAGUGAAAAAAAUAGGAAAUGAGAGAGAGAGAGAGAGAAAGAGAGAGGCGGACUCAACCAAAAAGAGCCUUCGAUGAUCAUAGACAGAGCGGCUCUAAUGGCCGCAGAGAGAGAAAGCAGAUAGAAGCAGGAGUGGUAGGCUCUAACGGUCACAGAGAGAAGCGGGAAUGAGGGAGAUGGAGAGAUUUGGAGUUAAAGCAGGAAUAAGGGAGGAGAUGGAGAGAUUUGAGGAGAUUUGGA
Molecule: long non-coding RNA, 2707 nt
Filed under: Amborella trichopoda
Lineage: Eukaryota; Viridiplantae; Streptophyta; Magnoliopsida; Amborellales; Amborellaceae
Description: long non-coding RNA (ATRI_LNC002354)
Source: RNAcentral